Molecule: ribosomal RNA, 240 nt
Filed under: uncultured bacterium
Lineage: Bacteria
Description: partial 16S ribosomal RNA
Rfam family: Bacterial small subunit ribosomal RNA
Source: RNAcentral
UACGUAGGGGGCAAGCGUUAUCCGGAAUUACUGGGUGUAAAGGGAGCGUAGACGGUUAGGUAAGUCUGGAGUGAAAGGCGGGGGCCCAACCCCCGGACUGCUCUGGAAACUAUCGGACUAGAGUGCAGGAGAGGUAAGCGGAAUUCCUAGUGUAGCGGUGAAAUGCGUAGAUAUUAGGAGGAACACCAGUGGCGAAGGCGGCUUACUGGACUGUAACUGACGUUGAGGCUCGAAAGCGUG